CACAGCCUUCCUUGUGCGGUCCCUAGAGGGGCUCCAGGCCGUGGGGGCUCUAGAAGGAUCCACAGGAGGCUGGGAGGAAGCCCUGGCCUGUCAGCUUCCCCAGGCAAACCUUCCCGGGGGCCUGGCCCCAGCGGCUGUAACCGGACUCCUGCUCCGGCCUCCGCAGCUGGCCCUGGGGAGGCCCAGCGCGGGGAGGCCCAGCCGCGGUCCCUGGCCCCUGGAAGGGGCGGGCCGAGGGGUCAGGGGGGCAGCGGGAGGCGCGGCGGGGGGUGCGGUGCGCUCCUCCUCGGGCCGGCACCCCCUGCACCCCCUGCACCCCCUGCGCCCCCUGCACCCCGGCGCCCGCGCAGCUGCCCGCGUCUGUCAGCCGCCCUGCGGGGCGCGGCCGGGGGCCGCUGGCCUCUACAUCUUCCUGACAGGCCCCUCUUCGGAGGCCAGGAAAAAACAACAGUCCCUCCCCUCGCGGCAGCCCAUUUGUUAGAUGAAGGCCGGGCACCGGCACCUUUAACCUCCUCAAAGUCAGCAUUUCCCCCUCCCGGCCCCGCGGGCCCCAGACAGAGAUGGAUGGAGGCGGCUGUUGGUGGAAGAAAGGCCCGUGGCUGCGCGGCCAAGGGGAGCAGGGCUUUCAGGAAGGGAGGGGACCCCGCUUCUGGUUGUUGUUGGGGUGGCAGGAGGAGGAAGAGGAAGAGCGUGCGUCAGGAGGAUGGUCGGCGGCCACACCUGAGCCAUCCCAAGGAACUUUCGGAAUUUCCCCCAUUGUGCGCGACAGGCAGGCGCGUCCUUGGCGCCACAGACCUGCUUCCGUGCGUGCGUGCUUGGCCACCCCACCCACCUGGGCCUGGAGCUGCAGGGCCACCGAGGGGAGCUUGGGGCCUGGGGGCAGAAGACUGGGCACAAGGUGGGGGGUCUCAGUCAAGUCACAUCCCUCUUCUGAGCCUCAGUUUCCCCACCGGCAAGAGAGAGAUGACAGUUUCAGCCUCAUGUGGCUGUUGGGGGAUAAAUGAACUGAUGUCUGUGACAAGACUUGGCUGA
Molecule: long non-coding RNA, 1032 nt
Filed under: Canis lupus familiaris (dog)
Lineage: Eukaryota; Metazoa; Chordata; Mammalia; Carnivora; Canidae
Description: lncRNA (ENSCAFG00000050461.1)
Source: RNAcentral